This 493-nucleotide ribosomal RNA is filed under the name uncultured bacterium. RNAcentral describes it as "bacterial SSU rRNA". It matches the Rfam family "Bacterial small subunit ribosomal RNA", at positions 791 to 1285 of the family's 1533-position model. The record is from RNAcentral.
UAGUCCACGCCGUAAACGAUGUCUACUAGCCGUUGGGAGACUUGAUUUCUUAGUGGCGCAGCUAACGCAAUAAGUAGACCGCCUGGGGAGUACGGCCGCAAGGUUAAAACUCAAAUGAAUUGACGGGGGCCCGCACAAGCGGUGGAGCAUGUGGUUUAAUUCGAUGCAACGCGAAGAACCUUACCAGGUCUUGACAUCCUCAGAACUUUCCAGAGAUGGAUUGGUGCCUUCGGGAACUGAGUGACAGGUGCUGCAUGGCUGUCGUCAGCUCGUGUCGUGAGAUGUAGGGUUAAGUCCCGCAACGAGCGCAACCCUUGUCUUUAGUUGCCAUCAUUCAGUUGGGCACUCUAAAGAGACUGCCGGUGACAAACCGGAGGAAGGUAAGGAUGACGUCAAGUCAGCAUGCCCCUUACGCCCUGGGCUACACACGUGCUACAAUGGUCGUGACAAAGGGUCGCUAAUCUGCAAAGACAUGCUAAUCUCAUAAACACGG